AGUGAACGCUGGCGGCGUGCCUAAUACAUGCAAGUCGAACGAGUGGCGAACGGGUGAGUAAUACGUAGUAACCUGCCCUCCUUUUUGGGAUAAGCCUUGGAAACGGGGUCUAAUACCGACUAACGGGGGUUGGGCUCGCGGCCUAUCAGCUUGUUGGGGGGGUGAUGGCCUACCAAGGCGGUGACGGGUAGCCGGCCUGAGAGGGUGACCAGCCACAUUGGGACGGAGAUACGGUCAAGAAUCCUACGGGAGGCAGCAGGGGGGAAUAUUGGACAAUGGGCGAAAGCCUGAUCCAGCCAUGCCGCGUGUGUGAAGAAGGUCUUCGGAUUGUAAAGCACUUUAAGUUGGGAGGCGUUACCAACAGAAUAAGCACCGGCUAACUUCGUGCCAGCAGCCGCGGUAAUAC
Molecule: ribosomal RNA, 406 nt
Filed under: uncultured bacterium
Lineage: Bacteria
Description: partial 16S ribosomal RNA
Rfam family: Bacterial small subunit ribosomal RNA
Source: RNAcentral